GGUCUUCUCAUUGCGCUCAAACCACUGUCCAGAUCCUGUCAAACGAGUCACCUGUCCAAACAUUGAUACACCUGAUUUACUGACCCCAAAGGCACUUUUAAGAGCCAAGCUCUAUCUAUCUAUCUAUCUAUCUAUCUAUCUAUCUAUCUAUCUAUCUAUCUAUCUAUCUAUCUCUACCUCUCGCAAUGCCAGGGGGGUCUACAAAAAAGAUUUGUCCCUUUUGUCAGGGUAUUUUAUUUUGCGCACAGAAGAUCUGCUUGAAUUGUAAAAAGGAGCAGCCGCUGAAGCAGCGACUCAAGAAGAAGCUUCAGAGAUUUGAUGAGAAGCGAGAGGAAUGGGUGGUUGGUCAUAAGAAGAACCACAACAUUGCAUCCAUCAAGGAUGAAGCAAUUGUCAUGCUUGAGAAACACCAUGCCAUUGGAUACAAGCCAGUUUUGCUUCUUGGCAAGGAGACCAAAAAGAAAGAAAACAAGUGUGAAAUAUUAACCCCUCGCUGCACACUCUCCACCUAUGCCCAGAAAUACCUUCAG
This is a long non-coding RNA of Onychostoma macrolepis, 530 nucleotides long. RefSeq lists it as uncharacterized. The transcript has 3 exons. NCBI's taxonomy places the organism in Eukaryota, Metazoa, Chordata, Actinopteri, Cypriniformes, Cyprinidae. The record is from RefSeq and is a predicted model, not a curated record.